CAGUCGCCGCGGUAAUACGAAGGGUGCAAGCGUUACUCGGAAUUACUGGGCGUAAAGCGUGCGUAGGUGGUGGUUUAAGUCUGCUGUGAAAGCCCUGGGCUCAACCUGGGAAUUGCAGUGGAUACUGGAUCACUAGAGUGUGGUAGAGGGAUGCGGAAUUUCUGGUGUAGCAGUGAAAUGCGUAGAGAUCAGAAGGAACAUCCGUGGCGAAGGCGGCAUCCUGGGCCAACACUGACACUGAGGCACGAAAGCGUGGGGAGCAAACAGGAUUAGAUACCCCCGUAGUCCCUGUCUCUUAUAA
RNAcentral lists this ribosomal RNA (301 nucleotides) under uncultured bacterium. Its description in RNAcentral is "partial 16S ribosomal RNA". It matches the Rfam family "Bacterial small subunit ribosomal RNA", at positions 509 to 809 of the family's 1533-position model. The record is from RNAcentral.